UACGAAGGGGGCAAGCGGUGUUCGGAAUUACUGGGCGUAAAGCGCUCGUAGGUGGAUUGGAAAGUUAGAUGUGAAAGCCCAGGGCUCAACCUUGGAACUGCAUUUAAAACUACUGGUCUAGAGUCAGCUAGGGGACGAUGGAAUUCCAUGUGUAGCGGUGAAAUGCGUAGAUAUAUGGAGGAACACCAGAGGCGAAGGCGAUCGUCUGGGGCUGUACUGACACUGAGGAGCGAAAGCGUGGGGAGCAAACAGG
This 253-nucleotide ribosomal RNA is filed under the name uncultured bacterium. Its description in RNAcentral is "partial 16S ribosomal RNA". It matches the Rfam family "Bacterial small subunit ribosomal RNA", at positions 524 to 776 of the family's 1533-position model. The record is from RNAcentral.